UACAGCGGGGGCAAGCGUUGUUCGGAAUUACUGGGCGUAAAGGGCGCGUAGGCGGCCUGCUAAGUCGAACGUGAAAUCCCCGGGCUCAACCCGGGAACUGCGUCCGAUACUGGUUGGCUUGAAUCCGGGAGAGGGAUGCGGAAUUCCAGGUGUAGCGGUGAAAUGCGUAGAUAUCAGGAGGAACACCAAUGGCGAAGGCAGCUCACUGGGACGGUAUUGACGCUGAGACGCGAAAGCGUGGGGAGCAAACAGG
Molecule: ribosomal RNA, 253 nt
Filed under: uncultured bacterium
Lineage: Bacteria
Description: partial 16S ribosomal RNA
Rfam family: Bacterial small subunit ribosomal RNA
Source: RNAcentral